GCAGCAGCCGCGGGAAUACGGAGGGUGCAAGCGUUAUCCGGAUUUAUUGGGUUUAAAGGGUCCGUAGGCGGAUCUGUAAGUCAGUGGUGAAAUCUCACAGCUUAACUGUGAAACUGCCAUUGAUACUGCAGGUCUUGAGUAAAUUUGAAGUGGCUGGAAUAAGUAGUGUAGCGGUGAAAUGCAUAGAUAUUACUUAGAACACCAAUUGCGAAGGCAGGUCACUAAGAUUUAACUGACGCUGAUGGACGAAAGCGUGGGGAGCGAACAGGAUUAGAUACCCCUGUAGUCCCUGUCUCUUAUAC
Molecule: ribosomal RNA, 302 nt
Filed under: uncultured bacterium
Lineage: Bacteria
Description: partial 16S ribosomal RNA
Rfam family: Bacterial small subunit ribosomal RNA
Source: RNAcentral